Molecule: ribosomal RNA, 254 nt
Filed under: uncultured bacterium
Lineage: Bacteria
Description: partial 16S ribosomal RNA
Rfam family: Bacterial small subunit ribosomal RNA
Source: RNAcentral
UACGGGGGGGCAAGCGUUGUUCGGAAUUACUGGGCGUAAAGGGCUCGUAGGCGGCCAACUAAGUCGGAUGUGAAAUCCCCAGGCUUAACCUGGGAACUGCAUCCGAUACUGGAUGGCUUGAAUCCGGGAGAGGGAUGCAGAAUUCCAGGUGUAGCGGUGAAAUGCGUAGAUAUCUGGAGGAAUACCGGUGGCGAAGGCGGCAUCCUGGACCGACAUUGACGCUGAGGAGCGAAAAGCUAGGGGAGCAAACGGGG